CUGCAGUUUUGGUCCUAGACUCAAUAUUAAUUUUAACUAAAGUUAUACAUGCAAGUUUCAGCAAUCCAGUGAAUACGGCCAAAUCAGACCAUUAUUUAUUUGGAUGCCGGUAUCAGGCAUAUAUUCUUAACAUAGCCCAUGACACCUCCUUCAGCCACACCCCAAAGGGUAUUCAGCAGUAAUAGAUUCUAUACAAUAAGCGAAAGCUUGAAUUAGUUAAAUCAGUUAUAAGAGUUGGUAAAACUCGUGCCAGCCACCGCGGUUAUACGAGUAACGCACAUUAAUACUUUCCGGCGUAAAGGGUGAUUUAAAAAAUUUUCAAUUCAUACUAAAGUAAAGAUUUUACUAAAGCUGUUAUACUUCGCAUUCAUAAACCAAAAGACUCACCAACGAAAGUGACUUAAUUAAUAAAUUUGACACUUUGACCUCACGACAAUUAAAACCCAAACGAGGAUUAGACACCCUACGAUGUUUAAUUAUAAAUAGAUAAGUAUUUACUAACCUAUUCGCCUGAGAACUAUAAGCGCUAGCUUAAAACCCAAAGGACUUGGCGGUUCUUCAGAUCCACCUAGAGGGGCCUGUUCUAUAACCGAUAAUCCACGUUAAGCUGCCUCACCACUCCUUGCCAUUCCGCCUAUAUACCGCCGUCACCAGCUCACCCUAUGAAGAAUAACAGUAAGCAAAAUGAAUAAUAUAUUCAAUACGUCAGGUCGAGGUGUAGCGAAUGAAGUGGAAAGAAAUGGGCUACAUUUCCUACAAGAAAAGCGGACAAUAAAUGAAAAAUUCUACUUAACAAGGUGGAUAUAGCAGUAAAGAUAAAUAAGCACAUUAUCUUGAAGACGGCUCUGAAGAGUGCACACACCGCCCGUCACUCUCCUCAAAACCAAACUUAAGUAUAAAUAAAAAAGAUUUAAUAUAAGAGGAGGCAAGUCGUAACAUGGUAAGUGUACUGGAAAGUGCACUUGGAAUAAC
RNAcentral lists this non-coding RNA (972 nucleotides) under Narcine brasiliensis. The record is from RNAcentral. Lineage: Eukaryota; Metazoa; Chordata; Chondrichthyes; Torpediniformes; Narcinidae.